GGGGAAUAUUGCUCAACUGGGGAAACUCUGACGCAGCAAUACCGCGUGAGUUCAGAAGGUUUUCGGAUCGUACAGCUCUGCCAUUGGGGAAGAAAAAAAGACGGUACUCAAGCAGAAAUUCCCGGCUAACUACGUGCCAGCAGCCGCGGUAAUACGUAGGGGACAAGCGUUGUCCGGAUUUACUGGGCGUAAAGGGCACGCAGGCGGUUUUUUAAGUCAGAUGUGAAAGGUACCGGCUCAACCGGUGACAUGCAUUUGAAACUGAAAGACUUGAGUAUUGGAGAGGCAAGUGGAAUUCCUAGUGUAGCGGUGAAAUGCGUAGAUAUUAGGAGGAACACCGGUGGCGAAGGCGGCUUGCUGGACAAAUACUGACGCUGAGGUGCGAAAGCGUGGGGAGCAAACA
Molecule: ribosomal RNA, 403 nt
Filed under: uncultured Acetobacterium sp.
Lineage: Bacteria; Bacillati; Bacillota; Clostridia; Eubacteriales; Eubacteriaceae
Description: bacterial SSU rRNA
Rfam family: Bacterial small subunit ribosomal RNA
Source: RNAcentral